GACGAACGCUGGCGGCGUGCUUAACACAUGCAAGUCGAACGGAAAGGCCCUGCUUUUGUGGGGUGCUCGAGUGGCGAACGGGUGAGUAACACGUGAGUAACCUGCCCUUGACUUUGGGAUAACUUCAGGAAACUGGGGCUAAUACCGGAUAGGAGCUCCUGCUGCAUGGUGGGGGUUGGAAAGUUUCGGCGGUUGGGGAUGGACGCGCGGCUUAUCAGCUUGUUGGUGGGGUAGUGGCUUACCAAGGCUUUGACGGGUAGCCGGCCUGGGAGGGUGACCGGCCACAUUGGGACUGAGAUACGGCCCAGACUCCAACGGGAGGCAGCAGUGGGGAAUAUUGCACAAUGGGCGGAAGCCUGAUGCAGCAACGCCGCGUGCGGGAUGACGGCCUUCGGGUUGUAAACCGCUUUCGCCUGUGACGAAGCGUGAGUGACGGUAAUGGGUAAAGAAGCACCGGCUAACUACGUG
This 468-nucleotide ribosomal RNA is filed under the name uncultured bacterium. Its description in RNAcentral is "partial 16S ribosomal RNA". It matches the Rfam family "Bacterial small subunit ribosomal RNA", at positions 28 to 507 of the family's 1533-position model. The record is from RNAcentral.